Molecule: ribosomal RNA, 460 nt
Filed under: uncultured bacterium
Lineage: Bacteria
Description: partial 16S ribosomal RNA
Rfam family: Bacterial small subunit ribosomal RNA
Source: RNAcentral
CCUACGGGUGGCAGCAGUGAGGAAUAUUGGUCAAUGGGCGCGAGCCUGAACCAGCCAAGUAGCGUGAAGGAUGACUGCCCUACGGGUUGUAAACUUCUUUUAUAAAGGAAUAAAGUGAGGCACGUGUGCCUUUUUGCAUGUACUUUAUGCAUAAGGAUCGGCUAACUCCGUGCCAGCAGCCGCGGUAAUACGGAGGAUCCGAGCGUUAACCGGAUUUAUUGGGUGUAAAGGGAUCGUAGAUGGGUUGUUAAGUCAGUGGUGAAAGUUUGCGGCUCAACCGUGGAAUUGCAAUUGAUACUGGCAACCUUGAGUACAGGAGAGGUAGGCGGAAUUCGUGGUGUAGCAGUGAAAUGCGUAGAUAUCACGAAGAACACCAGUGGCGAAGGCGGCUUACUAGACUGCCACUGACGUUGAGGCUCGAAAGUGUGGGUAGCAAACAGGAUUAGAUACCCGAGUAGUC